GAUGAAGAACGCAGCGAAAUGCGAUAAGUAAUGUGAAUUGCAGAAUUCAGUGAAUCAUCGAAUCUUUGAACGCACAUUGCGCCCGCCAGUAUUCUGGCGGGCAUGCCUGUUCGAGCGUCAUUACAACCCUCAGGCCCCCAGGCCUGGCGUUGGGGAUCGGCGGAAGCCCCCUGCGGGCACAACGCCGUCCCCCAAAUACAGUGGCGGUCCCGCCGCAGCUUCCAUUGCGUAGUAGCUAACACCUCGCAACUGGAGAGCGGCGCGGCCACGCCGUAAAACACCCAACUUCUGAAUGUUGACCUCGAAUCAGGUAGGAAUACCCGCUGAACUUAAGCAUAUCAAUAAGCGGAGGA
This 353-nucleotide unclassified non-coding RNA is filed under the name soil metagenome. RNAcentral's name for it is "partial contains 5.8S ribosomal RNA, internal transcribed spacer 2, and large subunit ribosomal RNA". The stretch from base 1 to 120 matches the Rfam family "5.8S ribosomal RNA", at positions 35 to 154 of the family's 154-position model. The record is from RNAcentral.